This 454-nucleotide ribosomal RNA is filed under the name uncultured bacterium. RNAcentral's name for it is "bacterial SSU rRNA". It matches the Rfam family "Bacterial small subunit ribosomal RNA", at positions 28 to 479 of the family's 1533-position model. The record is from RNAcentral.
GACGAACGCUGGCGGCGUGCCUAACACAUGCAAGUCGAACGGAACUGUUUUGAAAGAUUUCUUCGGAAUGAAUUUGAUUUAGUUUAGUGGCGGACGGGUGAGUAACGCGUGAGUAACCUGCCUUCAAGAGGGGGAUAACAUUCUGAAAAGAAUGCUAAUACCGCAUGAUAUAUCGGAACCACAUGGUUUUGAUAUCAAAGAUUUUAUCGCUUGAAGAUGGACUCGCGUCCGAUUAGUUAGUUGGUGAGGUAACGGCUCACCAAGACCGCGAUCGGUAGCCGGACUGAGAGGUUGAACGGCCACAUUGGGACUGAGACACGGCCCAGACUCCUACGGGAGGCAGCAGUGGGGGAUAUUGCGCAAUGGGGGCAACCCUGACGCAGCAACGCCGCGUGAAGGAUGAAGGUUUUCGGAUUGUAAACUUCUUUUAUUAAGGACGAAAAAUGACGGUACU